This 253-nucleotide ribosomal RNA is filed under the name uncultured bacterium. RNAcentral describes it as "partial 16S ribosomal RNA". It matches the Rfam family "Bacterial small subunit ribosomal RNA", at positions 524 to 776 of the family's 1533-position model. The record is from RNAcentral.
UACAUGGGGUGCAAACGUUGCUCGGAAUUAUUGGGCGUAAAGCGCACGUAGGCGGUUUGUUAAGUCGGAUGUGAAAUCCCUCGGCUCAACUGAGGAAGUGCAUCCGAAACUGGCAAGCUUGAGUACGAAAGAGGGUCGCGGAAUUCCCAGUGUAGAGGUGAAAUUCGUAGAUAUCGGGAGGAACACCGGUGGCGAAGGCGGCGACCUGGGUCGAUACUGACGGUGAGGUGCGAAAGCGUGGGGAGCAAACAGG